GUCUCAGCUCGAGCAUUCCUAGCGCCAACACGCCCUCAGGUAAAGGUGGAAGUAAAUGGCCACGCUGUAUUGACAGAGCAGGUAGAUGAAACUCAAGAGAAAAGGUGUGGAUAAAUGAAACUAGCCCAUGAUGAACCUGUUUUCUCCGUGACCACAAUAUUAACCAGGAUGAAUGGCGGUGGCAGUGGGCCUGCAUCACAGGUUGCAGCAGAUGUUCUCAAUAUUUCUAUUAAAAUUUCCUUAUUUCCAUAUGCAAGAGGAGCCCCAGAGCUGCAUCCUUAUGGUAGCUACCAUGCCGUGAUGUAAGCUGCCAUUCACUGGGGAGCUUUGGCAAUAGAAUUGGCUAGAUCAGGAAGCCUAUGUCAACUAUGGAACAACAACUUGCAGCUCAUCUCUAUUGAUGUUAUUUCUUCCACUGACAUCUUGAACCCCUCAGUCAUCCAUGAGGCUUGGAAUCAACUUCUUCCAAACUCCUGCUCAUGUUGAUAUUUUGAUCUCCUUUUAUGAAACAUGGAUGUUUUAAUAGCAUCUAGAAUGAGAAAUCUUUUCCAGAAGGCUUUCAAUUGACUUUGCCCAGAUCCAUCAGAGGAAUCGCUAUCUAUGACAGCAUCAGGUAUUAUCUACUGCUGUCUGCAGAAUUCAGACAUGGAGGGCUCAAUGGUGUCCCCUGGUCUUUGGAACAUUCUGUAUUUUAAUGAUCAUGCUAAGGAGAGGCCCCGGAUCAGGACAGCAGUUUCCUCAGACGUGAUGUGGUGCCCCUUGCAUCCUGCUCAGAGAAUUCUCAGCAGCACAGAUCCACUUCAAGGAAACACUGACUUGAAAACUCUCCCCCAUGGUUUUGUCUGAACUGGCUGCCAUUCUGCAGCACACACCAGAUCCAAUUGCUGGAGUCGGGAACCCGAGAGAUACACUGCCUCUAGGACUGGGACAGAUAGCCACUGAGUACCUGCUUCAAAUCACCCUGCACGUUUUCUCUUUGGAAAGAUAAGCACUGGAGAACCAUCUCGUUACCUUCAGCAGAAAUGGAAACAAAUCAAGACAUUAAGAAUGCCGCAGUGGACAGCAGUUAUGCAAGGUUCAGCAGAGGAAGUUUUCAAGAUGGUGUGCCUCACUAGCCAGAAAUCAGAAAAGAUCGAAGCUAGCCUUUUCAUCUCAGCUGCUCCUUAAAUCAGUGCAACCCCUCCAAAUUAAUGUGAAUUGAAACUUGCAUUGCUUUUCAACUUAAUUGAAUACUUACUAUAUGUGAACCACUGCACAAAAUAGGGGAAGAAGAUGUGGGAGACAAAGAUGUGGAGCCUGUCUUCAAUAAAUUUACAGUUAGUUUCAGGGUACAUUGUUUUUCUUCUGCUGUUAAUUAGGUGUAUCCCCAAGACAAUAAAUACAUGAAUGGAAAAGUAUAUUCUGUGUUUUAAGUCUCUUUAAUAAAAAACAAAACAAAAUCCAAAAAAACUCCUAACAUGGCAACUCAGGACAUUUUAAUCCUUUUUUUUGUUGUUGGGCUUCUGAUAGGAUCCAUUUUAUUGAUUCCAUAAAUAUUUAGUAGACUUUAGACAUAUUAAUACAUUGUAGUUUGAGUUAAUUUGCAUUAAAUUCUGUUUUUUUCCCCUUAGGUAUAGAUUGUCUGUUGGAAAAAUAUAUUGCUUGUGGAUUUCUUGGGGAGUGGGAAGGUGAAUUAUACCUGUUGUCUCUACAGUCCACUACCUUCCACACCCUAGGGCAGUGGUCCCCAACCUUCUUGGCACCAGGGAUCAGUUUCCUGGAAGACAAUUUUUCUGUGGAUGGUGUGGGGAUGGUUUUGGGAUGGAACUGUUCCACCUCAGAUCAUCAGGCAUUAGUUAGGCUCUCAUAACGAGUGCGCAGCCUAGAUCCCUCACAUGCACAGUUCACAGUAGGGUUUGCGCUGCUAUGAGAAUCUAAGGCUGCCACUGAUCUGACAGGAGGCAGAACUCAGGUGGCAAUGCUUACUGGCCCACUGCUCACCUCUUGCUGUGCGGCCUGGUUCCUAAUAGGCCAUGGACCCCCACAGACGGGUACUAGUCUGCAGCCUGUGGACCCCAGCCCUAGGGGCCUGCCAUUCUGAGUGAGUUAUUAGCAUGAAGAAGAGGAAGAUCUGGAUCAAACGUGGGUGAUGGUACUCAGAGACCCAAGAUAGGAUAGGGAUGGAACAAAAUCCAUCUGGGCAACGGCUCUAUGAAAAUUUGGCUAAGUAAUUAUUUCAGUAUUCAUUGUAUUCAUUGUCCUUCGUGUUCCAUAAGUUAAAUGACUGUCUAAUUUUUCCAAAAAUUUAUUUCUGACUUGAGAAUAAGUGUGUCAUGAUUUUCCCAGUGUAAAGACACUGAUAUAACUGUAGAUACCAGACAUUUUAUGUAGUGUCUAUGACACAUUUUAGUAUGUAUGAGCCAACAAUAGACAUGUCUUUGUCUUGAGGAGUGUCCAUCUGAAUUGAAAAUGUGUCAGCUUUUUUUUAACAUCAUCAACAGACUUCUUAAUUAAGCUGCCAAUACAUACUGCCAAUAGCACUGUGUGCUGUCUGAGAAAUGCAUUGUGUAAGUGCUAUUUCCAUCUUAUUAAAUAAACAAUGUUGCUCUGUAUAAACUGGAUUUAAAGUGUUCUUUGAAUGAGGCAUUAUAUUGCUCCAUAAAUAAUGUGAUGUGAAUUCUCAUAUGAUCCCUUUUAACUUAAUUUCUAAAAAAAUAUUAUUUGCUCCUCAGUAAGGAAUAGCUCUAAUUGGACUGGUAACUUUAGUGAUAUGAUUUGUCUGUAACAGGCUGAAUCGCCCCACUCCCAAACUCCUGGUCGUGAUACUGGAUAUUUGUUAUGCCACUUUUAGUUUGCAUGAGGUAUCUUCCAGGAAGUAUUAGUUAUUAACUUGUGUUCUACUAAACUGUAGAUAUUUAUUUCCUGUUCUGGAAGAUUUCUUGGAGUGUCCAUCUGUGCAUUCCUGGUGCCUAGUGUAGUCUUGCUAAUGGAAUAGCACCUUUAUUGGUGCUACUUAGGGGUUGGUAGCUUACAAUCAAUCUACUUGGAACGUAUCCAAAUAAACUGGAUAUUUUUAUACA
This 3059-nucleotide long non-coding RNA is filed under the name Homo sapiens (human). RNAcentral's name for it is "NR2F1 regulatory antisense RNA 1, transcript variant 29 (NR2F1-AS1)". Lineage: Eukaryota; Metazoa; Chordata; Mammalia; Primates; Hominidae. The record is from RNAcentral.